RNAcentral lists this unclassified non-coding RNA (1717 nucleotides) under Hevea brasiliensis (rubber tree). The record is from RNAcentral. Lineage: Eukaryota; Viridiplantae; Streptophyta; Magnoliopsida; Malpighiales; Euphorbiaceae.
UAAAUAUAAAUUCAAAAGGAGAAGAGAAUAGCGAAAAUAAAGCCGUAUCUAAAGCUAUGAAAUUUUGAGUUCAAAUCCUAAACAGAGUCAAUUGUAUAAAAAAAAAAUUAAAAUAAGAGGAGAAAAGGAAAGGGCAUAAAAGCAGGCUUUUUCAGCCAAGAAUACACUUUUAACUCAACUAGAUUAUCGAGUUCAAAUUCGAAAGGCGAAAGGUAGAAAUUUACAACCACAAGGUAACUUCAGGGACUUCUAUUUCCCUUAAGGAUUUAUCGUUUGCCUUCCUUCUUGGACUGUACUAUUAUAGUCGGAUUAAUUGAAGUCUGUAACUGGUGGAAAAAGAAACUCCCAGAGAUAAAAAGCUCAUACUCAGCAGUGAUCGGACUACGAAACUCUGGCAGGAGCCUUAUUUACCAUCGCUGUUGCCACCAUACUGAGUUGAAUUGCCAUUCCAAUAGGGAUUUCUAUCGCCGAACUGGCUAUCGUCUUCAUCAUGUUUCAAUGUGUGAAUAUUGCUUCCAAAUCGGGAUGACGUUGGUUGCCCGCUCCCGUUAUCAUUUCUGCCAGUUGCCGAAGUGCUUUGGUUUGAUGAGUAAGCGGAGUAUGGCCUCUCUGUUCUUGCUAAGUUGUUCUGCAGUGCUGGAUUUGGACUGUACUCCCACAUGCCAGUUUGAGCUUGUCCAGAACUUGAUGAACUUGUACUACCACCAAGAUAGGAAAGUGGAUUGAUAUAUGAUAGCAUCGUUUUGACGUAGGCAAAAUAUCCCCCAUUAUGCACAAUUGAUGAAUCAGUGUCAACUAUAGUAGCAGUUUGGUCGGACGAAGAACCUCCUCUGUGGUUAUUUAUGGCUCUUUGACGAGGGACUACUAUCAAUGCUUGUCUAUUGAACAGACCCAGCUCUGACAAUGAUUUGCUUAAAUCUUGAUUGCUGAACACCUUGCGAGGAUAAGGAAUAGCAAGAUCAUAUGGGCCAAUGCCACUAGCUUGGUUUCUGUCCACAUAGUCUUUGAUCAUUCCUAAAGUGCUUGCCACAGAAAAUUUGUCUUGUAGGCUAACACCACUUGGCAAUCUGAUAUUUAAAUGAACCUCACUUAACGCAUUAACACUCUUAUUAUUGUCUAAUCUGUAAGCCUUCGUAUCAUCAACACAUUUGUCCCUUUCAUUUUGCACUGCUUGAUUUGUUUCAGUAGUAACUAAAUGUGAAUCUCCACCAGGAACACCUGAAUACUUGUUAAUAAUCUUUUCUUCAGCAGGAUGCUCAUCUUCAACGCUAGAAGACAUGACAUCUGCAACAGAAAUGUUUGGGUCUAGCCUUGAAGGACUAGGUAAUUCCUUGGCUUCAUCACUAAGAGCAGUGGAUUGCUCAGACUCAGUACUUAAUGACUUAUCAGCAUUAGAUGAUUUUGAAGAUGCCUUGUCAUCACAGCUAGUACCAUUGACCUGUUCAUAUAACUCAAUAAUAUGUUCAUGACUGUUGUUUUCUUCUAUCGUCUUAGAAGCAUCUGGUGGUCCAACAUCCGAGGAUUGUACAUGUUUGUCCACUGAAGCUGGUGGAACAACUGUACCUGAAGAACUCCCUUGCUCAGAUGAGCUAAUAUCAGAAAAUCCAGCAGAUGGUUCUGGUUUCUUUGAAGUAAGAGCUGCUGUCAGAACAGUUGCAGUUGUUUCCUGGAUAUGAAGAUUCAACCAUGCCUUCUCUAAACUGGAAGCCAAAGCUUC